GAACGAAAAAUGGUGGGACAGUUGUUCUCUCUAUCAGACUGACAGAGAAAAAUAGGGAAAAUUUAGGACUAAGACUCUCAGCAAGACUUCGGACACUGGAAGGAACCAAAAUCUUCUGAAAUUACCUGUGAGAAGAAGGAUAAUGUCCAUACACCAUUCAGCAGCCCUGUAGGCUGCAUGGUACCCCAGCUCAACACUUCGUGGUGCAGUUUCACCCUCACUUGAAAGAAGUAUCACAGAUCCUUGAAAUACCCAUGAGAAACUUUCCAAACGUAAAAAAUUAUAAACAGCUUCAAC
This 297-nucleotide long non-coding RNA is filed under the name Numida meleagris (helmeted guineafowl). RNAcentral's name for it is "lncRNA (ENSNMEG00000008514.1)". Lineage: Eukaryota; Metazoa; Chordata; Aves; Galliformes; Numididae. The record is from RNAcentral.